Podarcis lilfordi (Lilford's wall lizard) is the source of this 76-nucleotide non-coding RNA. NCBI's taxonomy places the organism in Eukaryota, Metazoa, Chordata, Lepidosauria, Squamata, Lacertidae. The record is from the annotation of a GenBank genome assembly.
ACCUCUGGGAUAGUUCAGUCCGUAGAGCACGAGACCCUUGAUCUCAGGGUUGUGGGUUCAAGCCCCACGCUGGGCA